GCGGCACGCCUAAUACAUGCAAGUCGAACGCAGUAGCAAUACUGAGUGGCAGACGGGUGAGUAUAAUGUGGGAAUCUGCCUUUUGGUUUGGAAUAACUCGGGGAAACCUGAGCUAAUACCGGAUAAGCCCUUACGGGGAAAGAUUUAUCGCCGAAAGAUGAGCCCGCACUUGAUUAGCUUGUUGGUGAGGUAAAAGCUCACCAAGGCAACGAUCAAUAGCUGUUCUUAGAGGAAGACCAGCCACAUUGGGACUGAGACACGGCCCAGACUCCUACGGGAGGCAGCAGUAGGGAAUCUUGCACAAUGGGGGAAACCCUGAUGCAGCGAUGCCGCGUGAGUGAAGAAGGCCUUUGGGUUGUAAAACUCUUUCGUCGGGGAAGAAAAUGACUGUACCCGAAUAAGAAGGUCCGGCUAACUUCG
RNAcentral lists this ribosomal RNA (420 nucleotides) under uncultured bacterium. RNAcentral describes it as "bacterial SSU rRNA". It matches the Rfam family "Bacterial small subunit ribosomal RNA", at positions 39 to 505 of the family's 1533-position model. The record is from RNAcentral.